Molecule: ribosomal RNA, 301 nt
Filed under: uncultured bacterium
Lineage: Bacteria
Description: partial 16S ribosomal RNA
Rfam family: Bacterial small subunit ribosomal RNA
Source: RNAcentral
CAGUAGCCGCGGGAAUACGAAGGGUGCAAGCGUUAAUCGGAAUUACUGGGCGUAAAGCGUGCGUAGGCGGUUUGUUAAGUCUGUUGUGAAAUCCCCGGGCUCAAUCUGGGAAUGGCAAUGGAUACUGGCAAGCUAGAGUGUGUCAGAGGAUGGUGGAAUUCCCGGUGUAGCGGUGAAAUGCGUAGAGAUCGGGAGGAACAUCAGUGGCGAAGGCGGCCAUCUGGGACAACACUGACGCUGAGGCACGAAAGCGUGGGGAGCAAACAGGAUUAGAUACCCGCGUAGUCCCUGUCUCUUAUAA